RNAcentral lists this transfer RNA (64 nucleotides) under Engaeus cunicularius. Its description in RNAcentral is "tRNA-Cys". The record is from RNAcentral. Lineage: Eukaryota; Metazoa; Arthropoda; Malacostraca; Decapoda; Parastacidae.
GCUUUAUAGUGGAAAAAAAGACGUUAAAUUGCAAAUUUAAAGAUGUAUCGGUUACUAAAGCUUA